CCGAGUGCGGGCCUCGCGGCCCAACCUCCCACCCUUGUCUCUAUACACCUGUUGCUUUGGCGGGCCCACCGGGGCCACCUGGUCGCCGGGGGACGCACGUCCCCGGGCCCGCGCCCGCCGAAGCGCUCUGUGAACCCUGAUGAAGAUGGGCUGUCUGAGUGCUAUGAAAAUUGUCA
This 176-nucleotide unclassified non-coding RNA is filed under the name soil metagenome. Its description in RNAcentral is "partial internal transcribed spacer 1". The record is from RNAcentral.